This 2358-nucleotide long non-coding RNA is filed under the name Setaria italica (foxtail millet). Its description in RNAcentral is "long non-coding RNA (SITA_LNC003137)". Lineage: Eukaryota; Viridiplantae; Streptophyta; Magnoliopsida; Poales; Poaceae. The record is from RNAcentral.
ACAAUCAUUUUCUAUUUAAUUUCUUUCGUUUGCGUAAACGUUCCAGCAAGCAUAACAAACUUACAAGCAGUCAAGCACACAAAAAUCACGCAAGUAAUUAUUGUAUACAAUUACAAGAUUAGCAAAAAUGAACAUAUACAAAAAAAAACAAAAGGAGUUCAUACAUGAACAAAAUAUGAAAGAAAAAUUACAGACUCAUGUAGACCAAAUCAAAAAAGCAAAGGAAGGGAAAAUUACAUUGCAAUCUUACGUUCUUCUCAAGUCUUUUUUUUCUUGGAGAGAGCCGGGGAGUACAUCGCUGCUCAGAUCUAGGCCGCAUAUCUCCUCCUCAUGAGGAACGGUGAGGACGUGGCUUACCUCGCUGCUACUUCCAUGGCGGCGACGGGGAAAGUCAGAGGAGCUCACUUCCCAGUUCUGGUCGUGGGGAUCCUUCCUUGCAUCGCCACCAAGAUCUGUGGACCUCUUUGCAUGUUCGUUAUUGACAUACUUUUAUUGCCAUUUAUUUUCAUUUUAUACUAACCCGCUACUUGGCACCUGAAAUACCCCAUAUUCGCAUAUGUGUUGUGUUUUGGACCAUAUGGUAAAAUCACAGAAAAUACGACAUAAAUGAAGAUUUUUCUACAAGUUGAACUUGGACCCGGACUUUGGAUAUUGGAAGGCCUAAACAUGAACAUUGAACUGCAGGCCCGCAGGAAGAGCUGAAACUUGCACGGGUCAUAUCUUCCUCAUCCGAACUCCGAUUGGGGCAAAUUUACAGGGAAAUUUGUAUAGCUCGAUGAGAUCUACAACUUUCGGAUGAAGCACUCCAAAACAUGGCAGGCCGAUCGGCCUGGUCCGUUUUCGGCCCCGAUCAUCGCGCCCUUUCACCAGGAGGUUGCCCACGAUGUUCCUAAGGUUAUUUUCCAGAAACUUGGCUUCGAAGGCACCCGAACUGACACUGCCAAAGACUUUCAACAAGGAGGGAGAAUCCUAAUGAGUUUAGACCUAGCCGCCACCGCCACAAGAGAAGAAAAAGGGAUUUAGAUCUGAUCAGGAGCUUCGUCGUCGAAGGGGACCUCUAGAGAAGGGAGGAAACCCCUAGGCCGAUCAGCCUAGGGUGCCCCAGGCCAAUCGGCUUGAGGCCCUCGUGCCUCCCCUCGUCUUCGUCUUCGGUCAGGGUAUUCUCCAAGUGCUCCUUACCCCCUUUAUUCGUCAACAUGUGUAAGAUCAUAGGGUAAAGCCUCUGUUCAUCCCUAUGGUUGAUAUGGUCCUUGAUAUGUAACUGCUACAUGUUCUUUAUGCCCAUUAAUGCAUCAUGGUCUAUGUCGUUGUAAUGCUUCGUUUACAUAUGUAAGAUCUCUAUCUUGUACAACAUAUGUUCUUAGUAGAGUUUUCGGUAAUCGUGGUGAUUAGCUUAAUUCUGCGGAUGCAUGUGUGUGAGCGAGGUGAUUGAUUAUCCCUGCGUAGUGACAGUAUGUAGUGGGGAAAAGGCCGAGUGAGCACGUAACCGCUGUGAUAGCUAGUGAGGGCAUCACCCAUCUGUAUAGUAGAUGCAUAUUCUUGUGAACCUAAAUCCUAGGGAGGGAACGCUUAUAUCUAUCUCUAUCUCCUAUCUUAUGUUAACCUUUGCUAUAUUGUCUCAAUCUCUGUUAUUAGUUUAGUUUAUCUCUCUACACGAUAAAUAUACUCAAUUUUGUUAGCAAGAUUGGUAUAAAGUAAGAGCCAUCAAUCCACUUGUUCCACGAAUUAAUAAACCUUGGUGGAAUACUGUAAGGGAAAAGUUACAACUGAUCCAUGCGCUUGCGGUUAACGAAUUGGUGCGCUAACUGCCAUCAACAUAUGCUUGCGGUUCACGAAUUGGCGCGCUAACUGCCAUCAACAACACUCGGCUGCCGCCCCCAGCCUUUCCUUGCCACCACCGCUAGAUCCGAGUUCUCUCUCGAGAGGAGGGAGAUAAAGGGAACGAAGAAUGACGCAUGAGAGAGGGAGAGAAAUAAUGGUGAGAAAGAGAGAGCAGAUCUCACCUUUGCAAUGGAACACCAACUCCUAGCAACGUAACGACGGGGAGGUCAUCCACGGAUCAGGAGGCCUCGGAUCCGUCCGGCCACCGCCUCAGUCACGCCGGUGAGGAGAGAGAGAGAAUUGACGGGUGGAAGACCGAGAGGGCGAUGAGAGAGCCGGUGAGGCUGCGAUUGAAAAAGCAACCCUAAUAAUUAGGGAGCAGUAAUGUUCUUUCCAAUCUCCCUUCUCACUCUUUGAUUCUCUAAGCAAUUGGAUCACAUCCCAUCCGCUAGAUUCCCAUCCAACAGCUGCAAAAGACCACCUCCGGGGUACAGAACCUCCGGAUGGUAUUUUCGGCGACCACGAGCAAGUGGGGAU